This 531-nucleotide unclassified non-coding RNA is filed under the name Hevea brasiliensis (rubber tree). Lineage: Eukaryota; Viridiplantae; Streptophyta; Magnoliopsida; Malpighiales; Euphorbiaceae. The record is from RNAcentral.
AUUUUUCAGUGUCUUGAGGACUUCACAACAAAACAAAGCUAGCUGCAGAUGGAAGUUUGCCCAGACUGUGGAAUGUUGUUGCAAUAUGAGUUGCCUCAUAUGGACCGUCCAGCCAGAUUCUUUUGCCCUGCAUGCCCUUACGUAUGUAACUUAGAGAACCGGAUUAAGAUGAAGAGAAGGCAGCCUUUGGUUAAGAAACAAAUGGAUCCAGUGAUUUCGACAGAAGACAUGGAUAAUGCUUCGACUGCUGAAGUUCCGUGUCCUGCGUGUGGUUACAGGGAAGCAGCAUAUUAUCAAGUGCAGAUAAGGUCAGCAGAUGAACCUAUGACUACAUUUUACAAAUGCAAGAACAAGCUAUGUGGAAACAAUUGGAGAGAAGACUGAAAUGGUUUUAGGAAAGAGCAGUGUAUUCUUCAAUAGUUUCUUGGUACCAUUUCUCGGUUUCUGCGUAUCAUCCUAUCACAGGCAGAGACCAUGUUGAUCUUGUCUGUAUCGUUCCAAUUUUAUCGAAUGUCCAUAAAGGGAUCCGUG